CCCAGGUGGGGGGGGCAGGCCAGCCCAGCGCAUGGGCUUGGAACCGCGUGCUCCAAUUCAGCCUCCAAGUUGGCAGUUGCUGGUCUUCUCAGAUGCGAAGCCCAGAUUUGCGUUUGGGGCUGUGAGUGAGUCACUCAAAAGGGUGAAUCAUGCCUAGAAAGGUCAGCAGGAUUGAAUCCAGAAGAAAAGAGGAAGAAAAUCGCAAUCCACAGAUUGCACGCAUCUUCAGUUACAAGUGCUAUAUCACCUUCCUUACUGGCUGUUACAGUUGCCACUGGAAAUUCAGACGAUGGGAAAAAACUAAACUUGGAUCCUGUUGCUGCACUCGGAGAGAACAAUGCUUUUGUGUGUUCCUGGUGGUUGCAUUUAUCUUCUCUGUGAUCAUGCUCUUCACAUGGAUAGAAACCUCCAAUGAAUACUUUGGCUUUGACUGGGUCGUUUUUCUACUGACAGGAUCCUGGUUCUUCUGGUCCAUUCUGAUGCUGAGUUUAUUUGGGAUACUGACUGUCUACACUUCAUUGUUAUUGGUGAGUAAUGUUUCCGAUUUCUCUUUUCCUGAAUAGACCUGUGAGGUACCCUGACUGCGG
This 587-nucleotide long non-coding RNA is filed under the name Fukomys damarensis (Damara mole-rat). Its description in RNAcentral is "lncRNA (ENSFDAG00000028177.1)". The record is from RNAcentral. Lineage: Eukaryota; Metazoa; Chordata; Mammalia; Rodentia; Bathyergidae.